Molecule: transfer RNA, 90 nt
Filed under: Deltaproteobacteria bacterium
Lineage: Bacteria; Pseudomonadati; Myxococcota; Myxococcia
Also listed under: 1 other name
Description: tRNA-Ser
Rfam family: tRNA
About the family: Transfer RNA (tRNA) molecules are approximately 80 nucleotides in length.
Source: RNAcentral
GGAGAGAUGGCCGAGUGGUCGAAGGCGCCCGCUUGCUAAGCGGGUGUACGCCCAAAAGGUGUACCGUGGGUUCAAAUCCCACUCUCUCCG